Molecule: long non-coding RNA, 565 nt
Filed under: Homo sapiens (human)
Lineage: Eukaryota; Metazoa; Chordata; Mammalia; Primates; Hominidae
Description: HSALNT0362552
Source: RNAcentral
GCUGUUAAGGAAUGAUUACGCCCUCUCCUUCUCUUUCUCCUUCCAUCUGCCAGAUACAGAUGGCAAGGAUACAAAUGACAAGGAGAGGGGGGUUAUGGAGCCACAGCUGGAAGGAGUCUGGUCCUUGAAUCACCAUUUGGAGAAAAAACCUGCAGAUGAUCCCAUCCUGCCUGCACAGCUUCUCCAGGGGAGAUAGACACACAGAAGCCCACGAGAGUCAAAUAAGAGCCAUACCUUCCAGGUCUCCAUGACACAGACAUCCUCCACCACACCUGUUAAGAAAGUCGAAAUCGUCACUGCCACCCACACUGGGGUUCUGCUUUCCUGAUUACACCUUUCUCAUCUCUAUCACCUAUGCCAGGAACCCAAACCCAAGUCUUCCCAGCUGUGUGCAGAAUCACAGUGGCCACACCAAGACAACAGUGCCCAGCAGCAGCAUAGUACACCUAAAGGUGCUGCACUCUUGAUGUGGAUGCUGAUGAAAAGGAGAGUAGAAAUAAUAACAAUAUGUUUCGACGGGGCAUGGUGGCUCAUGCCUGUAACCCCAGCACUUCGAGAGGCCAAG